GAAUAUUGGUCAAUGGGCGAGAGCCUGAACCAGCCAUGCCGCGUGCAGGAUGAAGGCGUUCUGCGUUGUAAACUGCUUUUAUCAGGGAAGAAAACGCUCCUGCGGGGGGUAACUGACGGUACCUGAUGAAUAAGCACUGGCUAACUCCGUGCCAGCAGCCGCGGUAAUACGGAGGGUGCAAGCGUUGUCCGGAUUUAUUGGGUUUAAAGGGUGCGUAGGCGUGUUCUUAAGUCAGUGGUGAAAGCCGGCAGCUCAACUGUCGAACUGCCAUUGAUACUGGGAACCUUGAGUACAGAUGAGGUAGGCGGAAUUUAUGGUGUAGCGGUGAAAUGCAUAGAUACCAUAAAGAACACCGAUAGCGAAGGCAGCUUACUAAACUGUAACUGACGCUGAGGCACGAAAGCAUGGGGAUCGAACAGG
This 420-nucleotide ribosomal RNA is filed under the name uncultured bacterium. RNAcentral describes it as "bacterial SSU rRNA". It matches the Rfam family "Bacterial small subunit ribosomal RNA", at positions 359 to 776 of the family's 1533-position model. The record is from RNAcentral.